This 8430-nucleotide long non-coding RNA is filed under the name Trifolium pratense (red clover). RNAcentral's name for it is "long non-coding RNA (TPRA_LNC002988)". The record is from RNAcentral. Lineage: Eukaryota; Viridiplantae; Streptophyta; Magnoliopsida; Fabales; Fabaceae.
AUUCUUCUUCUUCUUCUUCUUCUUCUUCUCUCUCUCUCUCUCUCUAAUCUUGCUUUAUGAUGAUUGAAUUGAUGAGUAAAGAUACUAUUCCAUUCCAUUCCCACCAAGUUUGGUUUUGUUUUGUUUCUCUCUAGUGUGUAUACAUUAAUAAUCAACUUACCUUCAUAUUUCAGCAACCCUCUUCCAUGAUUUUUGCUUUUUCUAUAAUUUUUAAUACUAUAUAGUUUCAAGAGAGACCUAAAAUGAAAGUGUAUGAAUAUGCUAUGACCCACCUUUGGAUUUAAUGUAAUAAAUCAUAUGGUUUUUGACUGUCAGAAAACAAUUAAAGAGAUAGGGUAUGAAAAACCAACAAGGGAAAGAAAAAAUACAUUGAAGAUUAAUGUAAGACACAAGUAGGCAAAAUAUAGUACAUAAUUUCAGAAGUGUAUAUGAGGCCCCUAAUAAAGCAUGGAUCAUGGUGUACUUGGAAUCUAAAUGAUUUUGUUGUUUCUACUAUCAAUCUAUCUAAGCACUAGUGUAAGAGAGAUCUUGAUUAAAAAGAAAUGGUGUGUGUGUGUGUGUAACUGUGUACUAUCACUGAAGUGCUGAACCAACUUAACCAUGUGGAUGUCUAUAUUUAUAUAUGUAGACUAUUUAGUACACGAAAUCUCUUCUACAAAUUGCUAUUUUUGGCUUAAGGUUGAAAUUUACAAAGUUGCUUACAUGUGUUAUUAAAUAGUCAAGAUUUUGCUGAUCUUUACAUUUAUUAUUAUUUUAUUAUACAUUAUGAGCACAUAAAUAUUGGAUUUACCUUCUGGAAAGUUAUUUAUUUCAAAUCAAACCAAUGAAGGAGUCAAAUGAAUCGCAUUUUUACUUUUGAUAUCAAAGAAGAGUGUUUAUUGAGGUUUUGGCUUUCUAGAAUGGAAGGCUCAUACAAUGAUAAACAUGAUAAUCUAGGCUAAGCAGUUGAUCCAGAACCUUUGGCUGUAUGCUCAUCACAUUCCUCGCGGUUGUGCAAUUUAGACCAUCAGAUCAAGUGAUCAAACGGUUCAAAAACACCGAGCAUUUGUUUGAAAAGGUCCAAUUCCACGGCGUGGCCGCUCAUCAAUUGUGAAGCUUCAGUUUGUGGCUUCUAGAUAUCACUGAUUUUAAAUAGACCUGCGAGAAUGAUAACUUAAACGCCAAAUCAAACAUAUGCUACGCCCGAAUGCGAAUAAAGUCAGUCUGUAAACAACAAAGGCACAAGAAUGUACCGCCAAACUUUCAAUGAUCCAUCAUGCUGCAGUUAGCAUGCACAAUAUCUGCAAGAGCCUCAUUAAAAGCAGUUGUAACAUGUGAAAGGUGAUGAAAUUAAAAGUCUCUUUUUCUGUACAUUUAUAUUUCUUUGUGAACAUUAGAAAAAUGAAUAAGAAACAGACGGUUGUGAUUUGUUCAAUCAUCUAGAUAAAGUACUUGAGGCAUCACCAGAACCAGAAAUUGAUAAGAAGGGAAACCAAUAUUUUCUUUUUGGUUUUGGUUGGCUUUUGUUUUCAUACACAACAAUGGGACAAGAGAUCAACCACUCAAGUUCUUUGGUGGAUUAAAAAAUGGACAAAUUAUUAUUUAUCACUUUACACUACUAAAUACAAAAAUUGACCUUUUCACAUUGGAAAAAUUAUACGUUGGCUACUUAACAAAACAAAUUACUGAUCAUAAAAUUAUCAGAGUAAAUAAUUUUAUAAAAUAAAAUAAUAAUAAAAAGACUUUUAUUGACACUCUGAAGACAGCUAUACAAACGUGUGUUUUUUCCACAUUGUAAGGUGCCAUUUUCAAUUUGCUAACUUUUUGAAAACGUGCUGUACAAAAAUGACAUAAUUUUCAACGCAAUGAUCUUUCAUCAUGCGCAGUAAUCAACUAUCCCCUCUGUGUCAAAAAAUAAAUAUCAUAAAUUUGCAGGAAAAAAAGUGGAAUUAACGAAUAGAGUUACAUGUAUAUAAUUCUUUUUAUAUUGUUCAUACAUAGUCUUUCAACUCAUAAAUUUAACCAUACAUAAAUAUAACUGUAUUGGCACAAUAUCCAGCUCUGGCCAAGUAAAAAAUUUCAUGUCAUUUCUUAAAGGAUUAUUCAUAAACUGUCUCAAUUCUUAUUCAACAAAAUAAACCUGGAGGAAGAUCUUAUGAUCAUUAUGUACAAAGAUGUGUGUCUUUGAGAGACAAUUAAUCUUACACCAUUUUAAUGUCUGCAUUUUAUGAGUGUUACCCCACAACAAAUCGCUAAUACGCGAAAGUAUACAAAGUAAACUAUUUGACUUGUCAUUGUAUAUAUUGGAAAUAUAACUAUAUUAUUUACUUGUCUAUUUCUCAAGGCACACAACUUGUCAUCCCCAGGCCCCAGCAGAUGGAUGACCGGUAGGAAGCUGCAGCAUUUCAAAUAGAAAGGGAUUAGAAUAGAAAUAACUUCUCAUACAAUCUCAUGUUUUAAGUGGCUCCUUCACUACUUUUUUGACAUUUAGCAAACUUUAUUACAAUCCACGACUGAGUUGGUAACUUUGAAUAGAAUUUAUAAGAGAUUAAUUUCUGAAUGAAAAAAAAUGAUGAAUCUUGGAGACAAAAAGUGCGUCAGUUGAAUUCAAGUUUGAUGAGUUUUGGAUCAGUACCUCUCCAUCUUUGAUCUAUGUAGUAUUCAAUCACACUUGUGGCUUAGCAGCUUGGAGCAUCUCAACAAUGAGAGUCUUAACAUCCCUAAAAGGAAAGCAGUUAACGGUUACUUAUCUGCAGAAUUAUUUAUAAAAACAACCAACAUGGUGCAAACUGCAAACCGAAGACAAUGGGAUGCUCCCCAAAAAGAUGAUAACAGAGAAAAUUGUUAUCUGAAACUUAACAGCACCAAAUUUAAUCUAAUUAAUUCAGAUGUGUCGUUUUCUCCUAGAGACGGGAAUUUAUAUCAAAUAUGAUGUCUUACUUUCUAUCUUCUGCAGGUCGAGGGAAAGGUACACGGAGCUUGAAAAUAUCUCCCUGAUAACCAGCCUACAAAAAAAAAAUCAUUUAAACGAAAGGUAAAAAUUCAAAACUAGAAAAAUAGUAAAAGAAAGAUCGACAUUCAGUGACCACAAAAUAAGGAGAAAAUAUAAUUGAAAGAAUAACUGAUAUUAAAAAAAAAUAAGAGCAGCAAUACCUUAACAUUGAAACCUAGACGAUCCAAAUCUAAUAUGUCAGCAAAGUCCACCUGCAGAUAAUCAAUUCAGUCAACAUUGAAGCCAAACAUCAUCAGCCCCAAAUCUAAUGUAAUGUAAUAUACAUGAUAAUCAGAAAGUCAUCCAUAUGGGUUUUCUUAUGCCCGCUUAUACACAAUCAUAUCAUAUUGAACAAAGGCUUAAUAAAGAAAAUAUCCAUGAUAUUAACAGUUGAAGUAAAGUGUUGCUUUUCUUGCUGAUAUUGUAUAUUGUAUAACGGGCAAAGUGACAUACCGGAACUGAGGUCCAGUGCUGCACAAUCGCUUUAGUAUCUUCACCAUGAUCUUUGUUCAUAUGUGACUGUCAAACAGCAAUAUUUACAUUAAAAGAGAAAAACAAUGGCAGUUUAAGAAAUAAAUCGUAGACAUGUAAUACAUUNNNNNNNNCGCCACUGGCUUGGAAAACUGAGCUAUGGGGUCAACUUUUGCAGAUUUGUACUCAUCUCCAUUAAACUCUGAAAUCAAAGUUGAAAAAAUAAGCGUAAUAAUACUGUUUCUAAUAGAUAAUAAAGAAAAUACACAAGAAAUUCACUAAUGGGACAGUGAUGAUGAAUGUUAACUCAUGAAGCUACCAAUUGCGAUGGGAAUAUAUUUUGGUGUCCAUCAAUUAAAAAUAUUUUAAUCACUUCAAAAUGCAAGGAUUCCUUAUAUGUUCUUUUUAAUGCAUGCUAUUCUAAAACCAGAUAACAAGUACAGUUCCCAAUCAAAGCAAUUGACUUGAAAGACAGUUUUUGUAGUGCAGUAUGAUGCAGAACACACCACGCUAGCAUCAAGAAAUCCCCAGCUUAAAGAUAAAAAUGAUCUCAUUAUUUCAGUUAUGUUUUGAUUUUGACAUUUAUACACUCUUGCUCACUUGAAGAGAAGCUCGCAUAAGAAAAGCUUUGUCCUGCUUUAUAGCAUCCAGACAGCCACACACAAAAAAACAUCAUAUCCUCCAAGGUAUCGACUAUAAUGAAUGGUCCUUCAAUCCAUCUGGUUCUAAUCCUAGGUUAACAAUGAUAAUAUUUUAUUUCUCUAAUGGAUAAGGUAAAUGUUUAAUAAUAUGAAAAAUUAACUGUCCCUUCCCCUCCAUACAUAUCCCAGCAUUUACAGCAAAAUGAACCGGCAAGAUUAGCAAGGUUAACAAACCUCCUGAUCCUAACAAAGCUGUGGCAACACCUGACACAAAUCGUACAACUUUUGGUUCAAUUCGUACAAAUCGGAAGUCUCCAAAAUCAACCUUCAAUAUGAGUAGUUGUUAAUUCUAGAACAACAAGCAGAAGGGAAAAAAUAAGUUGCAAGGAAGAAUGAUGAAUAAAGUUACCCAAAAUGCAUUGGGAUGUCUGGCCAAAUAUGCAGCUCGUAUGGCCGUAUUACCCUUUUCAGGUACCUGAAUAUAAUUUCAGGACGACAUUUAAAUUUUUUGCCCUUCAUAUAAUGAUUCUUUAUUUAAUAACUAUGUAAUCCAAUCAUUAAUUUUAAUAAACAAUAGUAAAAGGAAAUGAAAAUACAAAAAAUAAAUAAUUUAUAACUACUGGGAAAUGAACAAAAGACGGUAACUUACAAAGACAGCGUCACCAUGUAAAGUGAUCACCAAAUCAGUCCUAUCUUCAGGAUCUCUAGCCAGAAGCACUGAACAUUUAGGAUUAGCAGCUAAGUCCUGCAAAGUGUAGAAAACAAUAUUCUUUAGCAAUGGAAGCAAUCUUUUAAUUGGUUUGCGGUGAAAAAAGCAUUCUGAUGAAUUAUAAUUGUAAAAUGACUGUGUGCUGGUUGAGGACAUAAAUGGGAUUUGAAAUUGAAUUUGUGGCCUUUGACAAGCCAAUCUCGAUACUGUGUUCCAGGCAAUUUAUACAAGUUCACAAAUUUGAUGUCAAUUGCUAUUUCUCACAAAACUUUAAAUUAUUUUAUAUUUAUCAUUUUCUAAACAAUAAGAUGUUUGAGAUGAGAAAAAGAAAAUGAAGAAACAAAACCUUCGAAUGAACUGCCAAGUCGCUCAAUGCUAAUAUAGGACAUCCAUCUGCAUCACAUGCAAAGUCAACCAUAGAUCCUGAUGGAUAACCGCCAUACUUCUGCACGUCAAAAAUCAAAAAACUAAAUGAGAAGAAGGUAAUCAAGUUGUCUGCCAAUAAAUACUAAAACAAAAUUAUAUGCCAAAGAUAUGAUCAUAAAGGCUGCUAGCAAAGAUUUCAAUUUAAUGGCUCUAUCGAGCAUGAAUUUUACUAUUUUGUUUGUUAUUAUUGUUGUUGCUGAUAGGAAAGGGUGCUCACAGUACCACGAUAACCUGAUAGUUGGGACAAGAACAGAAGUCUGCAACUAAACUUCCAAACAAGCAAAUUUCUAUCUCUCCAUGUCUCUCUUAUUGGACCAAUCCCAGCAUUUGUAAUUCUUAACGAUACUUUCGUUGUUUUUGCCUAGUGAAAUCUAUCUCGGACCAGGAAAGUUAAUAGCCAUAUGCUACCAUACCAUAACAGUUUAAAUAAAUAAAAAAGACAAUUGCAUCACAUGAAUUACACUCAACAAUAAUCAUUAAAUUUUCACAGGAGACGGUUAAAAACAAUCUGUUACCUUCGAGAAUGUGGAGAGCGUACCACGUAGACUCCGAUCAAGGACAGUUCGAAUCUCUUCAAUUGCUGGAAGUCUUGCAGCUUUUUCCUGCAGCAAUAACCUCAUUAACAUACAAUCAAUCUUCCUAAAAAGACACAUACAAAAUUUAAACUACAAGUAUCGGAUUUUAGCUUCUGGUUUAUCAUAGUUUCACAAUUAAAAAAACCAUAUAAUUCUACACUUUACAGAAACUUUUUUAUAAACUUAUAGAUAUUCGUAGAGAUGUUAAAUGAUACAGCUUCUAAAAUGACAGAAAGUAGAAACUAAUCAAAAAGUUAAAUAAGUGAGCUUCUACAAAAAUUGAUGAAGACUAAUUUAACCAAUUAAGCUUAUACUAUAAAGUUUUUAUCUUUUAAUCACAUUCAUUAAUUAUUUUUUCCAUAAGUGCUUCCAGAGAAUCAAUUAAAAAAAGUGGCUUAAAAGUCAAAAUACCUGAUGAGCCUGAAUUAAUUGAAAGAUAUCAUCUUUUCUUAUGUUAACAUCACCAGAUGACGAUGACGCAACCUGAUUCAUAAACCAGAAAUCACAUUCAUCAAUUGAUUGAAUAAACAAUAAUAUAUAUGAUUGAGCAAAAGAAAACAGAAAAUAAAUAAACAAAUUCAAAUAAUUUAGUGCAAAUUUCAAAAUUUGAAGAUACCGGAGCAGUGGAUUGGGAAGAAGCAGCCAUUGAAAGAGUGGGAGUGGGAGAGGUGAAGGUGAAGGAGUUAGGUAAUGAAGUGUUGCGUGGUUUGGGGGAGAAAGGAAGGGCAUUAUGGGAAAUUGGGCGAAAAUAUGUAGAGACCCUUGUCAAUGGCGUCACCAUAGUCUUCAUCUUGCGGAACACUACAACAACAACAACUGCACCAGAUAUUCCCUUUCUUCUACUAUUUUUUAUUCUUUCUCAAUUUUUUUUGUUUUAUAGUAUUUCAUUUCAUGAGCUACUUUUUUAUUUUCUUUUAAGUUUUAUUUUUUAACCUAUACCUUAAUUAUAUAAAAAUAAAAUAAUAAAAUUUGAUCCACAUAUACAUUACCACAUCACCUUUGUGACUUACAGAAUUCAUUAUUAUUCACAUGAUACAUUGUCAAAAAUAAAUUCCAAAUUCAAUGUUGAGAAAAUAUUGUAAAAUUUUAUAAAAUGCAGGACCAUACAAUACUAUUUUUUGGUAAGACGAGAGAGGUUAUUAUUAGGUGAAAUUACAAAUGAAUACAAGCGAUUAAAAAAGAUAUCGGCAAAAUCAUGUCAUAAAAGGGUAACACAAUUUGGAGGUUAUUAUAUUGUACAUAUUUUUCACUAUGAUUCUGUCUCAAUAGGUGAAUUUUAAUCUACAAACUACUAGUAUUUUGUUAUGUAUCAUUCAUGACUCAUAAGUACUACAUGAAUCGUGCUCUCAAGAUCUUCCCUUAACUUGAGAAAAUUCUUAAAAAGUACCUAGCUUAUUGUGACUCAUCAUCAUCGAUUUCAAAUCAGCUCCAUUUUGUAUUGCAACAUUUAAUUUCAUAGAUGUUCUCAUAUUUGUAUGUACCUACCUACCUGGUCCAAUGUAUCAUAAAAGAUAUUGAUAUCAUCUUCAAAUUAAAAGGCAAAUGUUAAAUAAUGCCCCAGGGGCACUUGUUAAGGAUUCAAAUUUAAAAAGUUUUACUUAGAAAUUAUGUAGUCAAUACAACAAAAAUCUAUAUUUUGAUGUUUUUCAUGCACAACUUUUAUUUUAUUUCUUCUUUUGGUUCCUUAACGAGUGCCCGGGGCACUUGUUAGCAAGACCCAAAUUAAAAUUAGGAGUUAAACUUAAUUCAAUCCUACACUUAUACUUAAAUUCAAUCAUGUUUAGGUCAUCUCACAAUUAAACUCUUAACAACCUCUUCGCACAAACACUUAAUGACCAAAAAUUUUGAAAGUGUAAGAUCAAACAAGUUUUUAUCAUUCCUGAGUCUAACAUGCCUGCAAAUAUAGGUCAUGGAAGAAAUAAAAUAAAAAACAUUUUCACCUUAUGCUUCCAAAUUACGAAAUUAAAUCCAGGUACUAGUACUAUACAGGGAAGAAAGUAUCAAAUGUGGAUAAAUAAUAAAUACAUAGGAGGGGACAUAAACACAAACACAAACACAAACGUUCUUUGACAAACAAAUGAAACCACCAGAAAAACAAAAGCAAAAACCUAAUUAAGAUGUAUAAUAUAAAUAAAUAUAUACAAUAAUAAUAAUAAUAAUUGUUUGGAUUUUGAAUUGAAUUUCAAUCGGAGUGUGGAGUUGAAUAACCAAGGUAGGAGGAAAGGGAGAAGAUGAAACGUUGGAAAGGAAGACAGAAGAUGAGACCCAAAACGGCGUCGCUGCUGAAUCUCUCAGGGUUGCACGCUAUGUAUUGACAUAACCUAGCUGACACGUGCGCUACCCUCAUCACCACGCCGCUGUUCAGUACCAUUCUUCUUCUUCUUCUUCUUCUACGUUCGUCGUUUUGCGAUCUGCACUUGCUUAAGAUCUGUGGUACUUUUUCCUCGCUUUGACGUUUUUGUUAGAUCUAACUAGUAUAAUGGAUGGAAGCGUGUUGUGUUGUGUGUUGUUGUUGUUUGUUUGUUUGGUGGUCCAACUCAAAAUACUAGUAUAUUUUCAAAUUGAGAAAUGACAUAUAUAUAUAUAUGUAUAUAUAUAUAUAUAUAUAUAUAUAUAUGAGUCAGGAUCCGUUGACAC